Molecule: ribosomal RNA, 301 nt
Filed under: uncultured bacterium
Lineage: Bacteria
Description: partial 16S ribosomal RNA
Rfam family: Bacterial small subunit ribosomal RNA
Source: RNAcentral
CAGCAGCCACGGGAAUACGAAGGGUGCAAGCGUUACUCGGAAUUACUGGGCGUAAAGCGUGCGUAGGUGGUGGUUUAAGUCCGUUGUGAAAGCCCUGGGCUCAACCUGGGAAUUGCAGUGGAUACUGGAUCACUAGAGUGUGGUAGAGGAUAGUGGAAUUUCCGGUGUAGCAGUGAAAUGCGUAGAGAUCGGAAGGAACAUCUGUGGCGAAGGCGACUAUCUGGGCCAACACUGACACUGAGGCACGAAAGCGUGGGGAGCAAACAGGAUUAGAUACCCCAGUAGUCCCUGUCUCUUAUAC